This 236-nucleotide long non-coding RNA is filed under the name Prunus persica (peach). RNAcentral describes it as "long non-coding RNA (PPER_LNC004780)". Lineage: Eukaryota; Viridiplantae; Streptophyta; Magnoliopsida; Rosales; Rosaceae. The record is from RNAcentral.
UUUGUUGGGUUAGAAACCAGAGGGAAUAAGAUUUAAAAACAUUGCAAGUUUGCCCAAUUUUGUUAACUUUUGGCUGGUCAAAAUGUCUCACAAAGUUUGGGUUUUAGUCUGGAAAAACAAGGGAAUUUAGUAUUUUUUUGGGAAGACGAUGAACAGUAACCAAAAAACAAGCCCACUCUCGGCUCCGGAAAGUGGCGGCUGUUCUAGCAGCCUCCGACGCUAUAUUUUUAGUCCAU